This 349-nucleotide non-coding RNA is filed under the name Mytilus galloprovincialis (Mediterranean mussel). The record is from RNAcentral. Lineage: Eukaryota; Metazoa; Mollusca; Bivalvia; Mytilida; Mytilidae.
CUUCGACUUUCGAGUCACCAGCUCUUUUUAACCCUAACUUUUCUUUUGCUCCUCAUUGCACUUUCUGUUGUUUUUGUGACAAGUUUUCAGGAGAAAGAGGAGUAAGGUGGGUCGGUAAAAAAACUUGUCUUGGUUGGAGCGUACACGUAAAUAUAGCAAUACCUGUUGGAUAAUGAUGUUAUUAAAUUACAGAAAACGACGAUUGGUUUUCGUUUCCAUGUUGUUUAUACUGUGGUUAGACAUUGUUUUCCCGUAGCAGUUUUUGUUGUGUUACAGUGCAUAUUAAUUGCAAGUCUACAACACGCCACUUUUCGAGUGUAGAGCUGGUAAUGUAGCUUUGCUAACAAUU